Molecule: ribosomal RNA, 469 nt
Filed under: Staphylococcus aureus
Lineage: Bacteria; Bacillati; Bacillota; Bacilli; Caryophanales; Staphylococcaceae
Description: bacterial SSU rRNA
Rfam family: Bacterial small subunit ribosomal RNA
Source: RNAcentral
UUUUAUGGAGAGUUUGAUCCUGGCUCAGGAUAAACGCUGGCGGCGUGCCUAAUACAUGCAAGUCGAGCGAACGGACGAGAAGCUUGCUUCUCUGAUGUUAGCGGCGGACGGGGGAGUAACACGUGGAUAACCUACCUAUAAGACUGGGAUAACUUCGGGAAACCGGAGCUAAUACCGGAUAAUAUUUUGAACCGCAUGGUUCAAAAGUGAAAGACGGUCUUGCUGUCACUUAUAGAUGGAUCCGCGCUGCAUUAGCUAGUUGGUAAGGUAACGGCUUACCAAGGCAACGAUGCAUAGCCGACCUGAGAGGGUGAUCGGCCACACUGGAACUGAGACACGGUCCAGACUCCUACGGGAGGCAGCAGUAGGGAAUCUUCCGCAAUGGGCGAAAGCCUGACGGAGCAACGCCGCGUGAGUGAUGAAGGUCUUCGGAUCGUAAAACUCUGUUAUUAGGGAAGAACAUAUGUGU